This 549-nucleotide ribosomal RNA is filed under the name Triticum aestivum (bread wheat). RNAcentral describes it as "partial small subunit ribosomal RNA". The record is from RNAcentral. Lineage: Eukaryota; Viridiplantae; Streptophyta; Magnoliopsida; Poales; Poaceae.
AUGGCAGCCAACAAGGUUGUGGUGCUCAUGGCGUUCAUGGCCGCUGCGCUGAGCUCUGUGUCGAACGCCGCCGGGCUGCAGUACAGCUUCUACAACUCGUCGUGCCCAAAAGCCGAGGACACGGUGAGGAACGUCGUCCAAGGCAUGAUCCGCAGUGACCCCACCAUUGGUGCUGCCUUUGUUCGCCUCUUCUUCCACGAUUGCUUUGUCAGGGGUUGCGAUGCCUCCAUUCUGCUAGACCCGACGGCCAACAAGCCAGAGACUGAGAAAACAACAAUCCCUUUGCGCGGAUACGAAGCCGUGAACAAGAUCAAGGAUGCCGUGGAGGCCGUCUGCCCGGGCGUCGUCUCCUGUGCCGACAUCCUGGCCUUUGCGGCGCGCGACUCCACUUGCACCUUGGGCGGGUUCACCUUCCACAUGCCAUCCGGCCGCCUGGAUGGCUUCCAGUCAAUCGCCGACGAGGUCUUCCAGGGCAUCCCAUCGCCCGCGUUUCAGCUCCAAGACUCCUUGACAGCUUCGCCGCCAAGGGCCUCAACGCCGAGGACCUAG